GUUUAAAUAGUUUAUUAAAACGCUAAUUUUGUAAAUUAGAAAAGAAUUAUUCUUUAAAUU
RNAcentral lists this transfer RNA (60 nucleotides) under Bathynella cf. rufa JHS-2017. Its description in RNAcentral is "tRNA-Thr". The record is from RNAcentral. Lineage: Eukaryota; Metazoa; Arthropoda; Malacostraca; Bathynellacea; Bathynellidae.